This is a long non-coding RNA of Panthera uncia (snow leopard), 1379 nucleotides long. RefSeq lists it as uncharacterized. Lineage: Eukaryota; Metazoa; Chordata; Mammalia; Carnivora; Felidae. The record is from RefSeq and is a predicted model, not a curated record. The transcript has 3 exons.
CUUUAUGAGGUAAGGAAAUUGUCACCAAGAAAGGCCCGGUGAUUUGCCCGUCUCACAGUUAGUUAAUGACAGAAACCGAACCUCUGGUCUCCUAAGCUGCAGUCAUGUAUCCCACGUAUUUUCAAGGGUUCCGACUGCAGGAUCACAACGGACAGAACACCAAGCGGUUCAUAGAGUGUGAUCUCUGCCACUCCGGGAGAGCAUCGCGUUGAAGGUCACUCCUUGUCUUGCUUCUGAAGAUGCCAUUAGGGACUGCUGAUAACUGAUCGCAAGUGCGCGGAGAACCUCUGCAUCGCCUCAUGCGAUUGGUUGACUCCACUUCAAACGUGCCAUAUACAUCGCACCUGUUUCCAGUCCAGCUGAACACGCUUUGCGUUCUCAUUUUUAACGUCUUAGAAGAACAAGCUCGUGGUUACCAUAGCAACUGUCCGGCGGCGACUUCUGCUUGGAGAUGAGAAUGCCAACAACAAUACUGCUUCUUUUUCUUGAUCUAGACUAGCCUUGCGGGUGGGCCCAGGCACGGGUGAUUUUCUCUUAUAAGCUUCUCAGAUGAUAAUGUACGGCCAGUGUUAGGAGAUCUGAUACAGCCUUUUAAAUUCUCAUUAAGACUGGUCUGGCCAAGAGUUCAGCCAGUUCAUUCAAUCUCAUGCCUCCUGUUUCACUUCCGAACUUCCCAUAAGUGCCUACCUGGUGACUUAUUUAAAACCCUCUUCUCAAAGGAAAGGAUCUGGUCCACUCUGGCGCAGUAUGUGAUUUCUGGCUUUCCGAGAUCACUCAAGCAAUAAUAUUCACACUCAUGGAAAAAUGAUCAGCUCAGUUCGACCACCCCGAAAGAGGAAAAGAGGCUGGAAUGUAGCCAAAGAAAGCAAGAUCACACAGGGCUGGAAAGUCAGACCGACGAGUUCAAAGUCAACUCCACAGGCUUUGAGAAAGAGUCCUUGGAGAUUCAAGUACUUUGUUGAUUAACAGAAGAGACAGUACAAAGAGCCAUGAGACCCAGCUUUUGCUUCCAUGGAUCAACAUAUUUCAAUUCAAAAUACUGACUGAGUCCAGGGUAGGGAAUUUAGGAAAGAAUUAUGUACAAACAACCAUCAUUAGAAGAGUUAAAUAGAAAGAGACAAACAUAGGAAUGAUAAGCCAACAGAGGCCCCAGGGAGAAGGUAAUGUGUGAGUUAAGCCUUGAAGAAGUAGGAUCACAUCCUGGGAAUGCUGGGGCACCAUUUUCUUCAGUUUCAUUUGACUCUGGACAUUGUGACUGAAAAUGUGCCCUAAGAAGUCCAUUUUGUCUGGAUGACAUACUUGAAAGGAGAAAACCACAAUGUUCAUUUACUUCACAAAUAAAGACAACAUUCACUUAUUUUCACCGAGUUUGCUAAGCU